GCAAAGCAAGCAACUAAAGCAACUAAAGGGUACCUGAGAAAAACCAAACAAAUCAGUAUGCAAUUAAACAGUUAAAAGCAAAAGGAACGGGUAAACAGUCAACCACAGAAGGUCAACUGUGCAAAGCAAGACUCAAACACAUGAGUCAAACCACAUACAAAACAAAGGUUAGUUCAUAUGUAAACAAAUCCAAUCACAUUUGUAUGAUCUCAAUGGCAAUGGUGCUUAACCUGAAACAGAAACUCAAUAGUAAGCACAGAGGACCACUAGGGCUAG
RNAcentral lists this long non-coding RNA (276 nucleotides) under Lathyrus oleraceus (garden pea). Its description in RNAcentral is "Pisum sativum (pea) long non-coding RNA (PSAT_LNC025497)". Lineage: Eukaryota; Viridiplantae; Streptophyta; Magnoliopsida; Fabales; Fabaceae. The record is from RNAcentral.